RNAcentral lists this ribosomal RNA (471 nucleotides) under uncultured organism. Its description in RNAcentral is "partial 16S ribosomal RNA". It matches the Rfam family "Bacterial small subunit ribosomal RNA", at positions 333 to 800 of the family's 1533-position model. The record is from RNAcentral.
ACACUCCUGCGGGAGGCAGCAGUGAGGAAUAUUGGACAAUGGGUGGAAGCCUGAUCCAGCCAUCCCGCGUGCAGGAAGACGGCCCUAUGGGUUGUAAACUGCUUUUAUCUGGGGAUAAACCUACUUACGUGUAAGUAGCUGAAGGUACCAGAAGAAUAAGCACCGGCUAACUCCGUGCCAGCAGCCGCGGUAAUACGGAGGGUGCAAGCGUUAUCCGGAUUUAUUGGGUUUAAAGGGUCCGUAGGCGGACUGAUAAGUCAGUGGUGAAAUCCGACAGCUUAACUGUAGAACUGCCAUUGAUACUGUUAGUCUUGAGUAAGGUUGAAGUGGCUGGAAUAAGUAGUGUAGCGGUGAAAUGCAUAGAUAUUACUUAGAACACCAAUUGCGAAGGCAGGUCACUAAGUCUUAACUGACGCUGAUGGACGAAAGCGUGGGGAGCGAACAGGAUUAGAAACCCUAGUAGUCCCAUGA